Long non-coding RNA from Paralichthys olivaceus (Japanese flounder), 731 nucleotides. RefSeq lists it as uncharacterized. The record is from RefSeq and is a predicted model, not a curated record. NCBI's taxonomy places the organism in Eukaryota, Metazoa, Chordata, Actinopteri, Pleuronectiformes, Paralichthyidae.
AGAAGAAGAAGAAGCGCCAUCUCUGCCAGCCUCAUGGUUUGAGGUUUUCUGGUUAUUUUGGAUUUGUUGAAAAUGAGGAACAGCUGGCGACCGAGUGGAGAAAACAGGACUGUCAGCACAUCAGAAAUAAAAUAUCCUGGAUGUUGGAAUCUUGUGUCGAGGAUCUUUUCUGGAGCCCGAGUCUGUGCAGAAGAGAUGGAGCCCCGCCACCGAGGUCCCGCCGACGCACGCGCUCGACUAACCAUGAUGCUGCUGCUUUCUGGACCGAGCAGCAUCGUGUUGAGACAGGUCACUGAGAGCCACCAAGGGAGUAUCAUCUCUCUGGAAGCAUGGCGUCCCAAUGUGUGGAUCAUUACAAAAAAAAAAACACUUAACACCGCAACAACUCAUCGGUUUUUAACUGUACCGCAGAGGCAGACUUGAAGAUGCGAGUGGGAGGCUAUAACCCGAACCAGCUGGGAGACAAAAAGCGAGAGUGUCUGCUCUCCUUGGUCAGAAGCGAGAGAAAUAUGAGACGGCUGUGAAAGUGAAAGGGGAUUAAUGGAUUUCAGACUGAAAGAGAGUUAGAGAUGCUGUCAUUCGUUGCUUCAGGUAGAAAUGUCAAGAGAAAAAUGAGGGAGAGAAGAGAAGCAACAGUGGGAGUUAGAGAUGCAGCAGAUACACAGAAAUGCACUUUUUUUUGUUUUUCUGUAAUGCAGUGAUUAAUCACAUUCUGGGUGAAUCAUGGCACC